This 253-nucleotide ribosomal RNA is filed under the name uncultured bacterium. RNAcentral describes it as "partial 16S ribosomal RNA". It matches the Rfam family "Bacterial small subunit ribosomal RNA", at positions 524 to 776 of the family's 1533-position model. The record is from RNAcentral.
UACAGAGGGGGCAAGCGUUAUUCGGAAUUAUUGGGCGUAAAGGGCGCGUAGGCGGCCAUUCAAGUGACGGGUGAAAGCCCUCGGCUUAACCGAGGAACUGCCUGUCAGACUGGAUGGCUUGAGACCGGGAGAGGUGAGUGGAAUUCCCAGUGUAGCGGUGAAAUGCGUAGAUAUCGGGAAGAACACCCGUGGCGAAGGCGGCUCUCUGGGACGGUACUGACGCUGAGACGCGAAAGCGUGGGGAGCGAACAGG